Molecule: transfer RNA, 71 nt
Filed under: Crossobamon orientalis
Lineage: Eukaryota; Metazoa; Chordata; Lepidosauria; Squamata; Gekkonidae
Description: tRNA-Asp
Source: RNAcentral
AAGACGUUAGUAAACAAAUUAUAUAGCACUGUCAGCGCUAAGUCAAAGAUUCCCCUGCUCUUUACGUCUUU